RNAcentral lists this ribosomal RNA (253 nucleotides) under uncultured bacterium. Its description in RNAcentral is "partial 16S ribosomal RNA". It matches the Rfam family "Bacterial small subunit ribosomal RNA", at positions 524 to 776 of the family's 1533-position model. The record is from RNAcentral.
UACGGGGGGGGCAAGCGUUGUUCGGAAUUACUGGGCGUAAAGGGCUCGUAGGUGGCCAACUAAGUCGGACGUGAAAUCCCUCGGCUUAACCGGGGAACUGCGUCCGAUACUGGAUGGCUUGAGUUUGGGAGAGGGACGCGGAAUUCCAGGUGUAGCGGUGAAAUGCGUAGAUAUCUGGAGGAACACCGGUGGCGAAGGCGGCGUCCUGGACCAACACUGACACUGAAGAGCGAAAGCCAGGGGAGCAAACGGG